AGAGCGAACGCUGGCGGCAGGCUUAACACAUGCAAGUCGAGCGGGCGUAGCAAUACAUCAGCGGCGCACGGGAGAAUAACACGUGGGAACCUACCUUUUGGUUCGGAAUAACAUCGGGAAACUGGUGCUAAUACCGGAUAAGCCCCCUGGGGGAAAGAUUUAUCGCCGAAAGAUGGGCCCGCGUUGGAUUAGCUAGUUGGUGAGGUAACGGCUCACCAAGGCAACGAUCCAUAGCUGGUCUGAGAGGAUGAUCAGCCUCACUGGGACUGAGACACGGCCCAGACUCCUACGGGAGGCAGCAGUAGGGAAUAUUGGACAAUGGGGGGCAACCCUGAUCCAGCCAUGCCGCGUGAAUGAUGAAGGCCUUCGGGUUGUAAAGUUCUUUUGGUGGGGACGAUGAUGACGGUACCACAGAAUAAGCUCCGGCUAACUUCGUGCCAGCAGCCGC
RNAcentral lists this ribosomal RNA (448 nucleotides) under uncultured bacterium. RNAcentral's name for it is "SSU rRNA". It matches the Rfam family "Bacterial small subunit ribosomal RNA", at positions 26 to 518 of the family's 1533-position model. The record is from RNAcentral.